RNAcentral lists this ribosomal RNA (435 nucleotides) under uncultured bacterium. RNAcentral describes it as "partial 16S ribosomal RNA". It matches the Rfam family "Bacterial small subunit ribosomal RNA", at positions 28 to 507 of the family's 1533-position model. The record is from RNAcentral.
GAUGAACGCUGGCGGUAUGCUUAACACAUGCAAGUCGAACGGACUCUUUGGAGUUAGUGGCGGACGGGUGAGUAACGCGUGAGAAUCUGGCUUUGGGUUCGGGACAACCACUGGAAACGGUGGCUAAUACCGGAUGUGCCGAGAGGUAAAAGAGAAAUUGCCUGAAGAUGAGCUCGCGUCUGAUUAGCUAGUUGGUGAGGUAAAGGCUCACCAAGGCAGCGAUCAGUAGCUGGUCUGAGAGGAUGACCAGCCACACUGGGACUGAGACACGGCCCAGACUCCUACGGGAGGCAGCAGUGGGGAAUUUUCCGCAAUGGGCGAAAGCCUGACGGGGCAAUACCGCGUGAGGGAAGAAGGCUCUUGGGUUGUAAACCUCUUUUCUUAGGGAAGAACAAAAUGACGGUACCUAAGGAAUCAGCAUCGGCUAACUCCGUG